GGUAACAGAGAGUAGCUUGCUACUUUGCUGACGAGCGGCGGACGGGUGAGUAAUGCUUGGGAACAUGCCUUGAGGUGGGGGACAACAGUUGGAAACGACUGCUAAUACCGCAUAAUGUCUACGGACCAAAGGGGGCUUCGGCUCUCGCCUUUAGAUUGGCCCAAGUGGGAUUAGCUAGUUGGUGAGGUAAUGGCUCACCAAGGCGACGAUCCCUAGCUGGUUUGAGAGGAUGAUCAGCCACACUGGGACUGAGACACGGCCCAGACUCCUACGGGAGGCAGCAGUGGGGAAUAUUGCACAAUGGGCGCAAGCCUGAUGCAGCCAUGCCGCGUGUGUGAAGAAGGCCUUCGGGUUGUAAAGCACUUUCAGUCAGGAGGAAAGGUUGGUGGUUAAUACCUGUUAGCUGUGACGUUACUGACAGAAGAAGCACCGGCUAACUCCGUGCCAGCAGCCGCGGUAAUACGGAGGGUGCGAGCGUUAAUCGGAAUUACUGGGCGUAAAGCGUACGCAGGCGGUUUGUUAAGCGAGAUGUGAAAGCCCCGGGCUCAACCUGGGAACUGCAUUUCGAACUGGCAAACUAGAGUGUGAUAGAGGGUGGUAGAAUUUCAGGUGUAGCGGUGAAAUGCGUAGAGAUCUGAAGGAAUACCGAUGGCGAAGGCAGCCACCUGGGUCAACACUGACGCUCAUGUACGAAAGCGUGGGGAGCAAACGGGAUUAGAU
Molecule: ribosomal RNA, 720 nt
Filed under: gamma proteobacterium PM55
Lineage: Bacteria; Pseudomonadati; Pseudomonadota; Gammaproteobacteria
Description: bacterial SSU rRNA
Rfam family: Bacterial small subunit ribosomal RNA
Source: RNAcentral